RNAcentral lists this unclassified non-coding RNA (253 nucleotides) under uncultured Alphaproteobacteria bacterium. RNAcentral describes it as "contains 16S-23S intergenic spacer region". It matches the Rfam family "Bacterial small subunit ribosomal RNA", at positions 524 to 776 of the family's 1533-position model. The record is from RNAcentral. Lineage: Bacteria; Pseudomonadati; Pseudomonadota; Alphaproteobacteria.
UACGAAUGGAGCGAGCGUUGUUCGGAAUUACUGGGCGUAAAGCGUGCGCAGGCGGUUAUCCAAGUCAGAAGUGAAAUCCCAGGGCUCAACCCUGGAAUUGCUUUUGAAACUGUAUAACUAGAGUCCCGGAGAGGUAAACGGAAUUUCCAGUGUAGAGGUAAAAUUCGCAGAUAUUGGAAGGAACACCAGUGGCGUAAGCGGUUUACUGGACGGGUACUGACGCUCAGGCACGAAAGCGUGGGGAGCAAACAGG